AAAUUGAAGAGUUUGAUCAUGGCUCAGAUUGAACGCUGGCGGCAGGCCUAACACAUGCAAGUCGAACGGUAACAGGAAGCGCUUGCUGCUUCGCUGACGAGUGGCGGACGGGUGAGUAAUGUCUGGGAAACUGCCUGAUGGAGGGGGAUAACUACUGGAAACGGUAGCUAAUACCGCAUAACGUCGCAAGA
Molecule: ribosomal RNA, 191 nt
Filed under: Shigella flexneri
Lineage: Bacteria; Pseudomonadati; Pseudomonadota; Gammaproteobacteria; Enterobacterales; Enterobacteriaceae
Description: partial 16S ribosomal RNA
Rfam family: Bacterial small subunit ribosomal RNA
Source: RNAcentral